GAACGCUGGCGGCGUGCUUAACACAUGCAAGUCGAAACGAUGAACCUCACUUGUGGGGGGAUUAGUGGCGAACGGGUGAGUAACACGUGAGUAACCUGCCCUUGACUCUGGGAUAAGCCUGGGAAACCGGGUCUAAUACUGGAUACGACCUUUCUGGCGCAUGCCAUGUUGGUGGAAAGCUUUUGUGGUUUUGGAUGGACUCGCGGCCUAUCAGCUUGUUGGUGGGGUAAUGGCCUACCAAGGCGACGACGGGUAGCCGGCCUGAGAGGGUGACCGGCCACACUGGGACUGAGACACGGCCCAGACUCCUACGGGAGGCAGCAGUGGGGAAUAUUGCACAAUGGGCGCAAGCCUGAUGCAGCGACGCCGCGUGAGGGAUGAAGGCCUUCGGGUUGUAAACCUCUUUCAGUAGGGAAGAAGCCGGCUUUUGGGUUGGUGACGGUACCUGCAGAAGAAGCGCCGGCUAACUACGUGCCAGCAGCCGCGGUAAUACGUAGGGCGCAAGCGUUAUCCGGAAUUAUUGGGCGUAAAGAGCUCGUAGGCGGUUUGUCGCGUCUGCCGUGAAAGUCCGGGGCUUAACCCCGGAUCUGCGGUGGGUACGGGCAGACUAGAGUGCAGUAGGGGAGACUGGAAUUCCUGGUGUAGCGGUGAAAUGCGCAGAUAUCAGGAGGAACACCGAUGGCGAAGGCAGGUCUCUGGGCUGUAACUGACGCUGAGGAGCGAAAGCAUGGGGAGCGAACAGGAUUAGAUACCCUGGUAGUCCAUGCCGUAAACGUUGGGCACUAGGUGUGGGGGACAUUCCACGUUUUCCGCGCCGUAGCUAACGCAUUAAGUGCCCCGCCUGGGGAGUACGGCCGCAAGGCUAAAACUCAAAGGAAUUGACGGGGGCCCGCACAAGCGGCGGAGCAUGCGGAUUAAUUCGAUGCAACGCGAAGAACCUUACCAAGGCUUGACAUGAACCGGAAUGAUGCAGAGAUGUGUCAGCCACU
Molecule: ribosomal RNA, 989 nt
Filed under: Arthrobacter sp. RG-49
Lineage: Bacteria; Bacillati; Actinomycetota; Actinomycetes; Micrococcales; Micrococcaceae
Description: bacterial SSU rRNA
Rfam family: Bacterial small subunit ribosomal RNA
Source: RNAcentral